GUUAAGAGAUACACAUAAAGGAAGCUUUCAGAUGAUAAACCAAAGAGUUCAAAGAAAGAAGUUGCCAUGACUGAAAUCUAUGGGUAAAACUCUUUUAGAAAGCUGGGAAUCCCCCUUCUUGAGCCAAAACAAAAUAUUUGAAGCUUAAACAGAAACAGUAACGGUAUAAGUUCACCAUCCCAGAAUAUCUGGCUAUCAUAUCUGAUCCCCAAAUAAGAAGUCAAUCUAGGACUUCAAGAACUAGAAAGUUUAAUUUCAGCAGUUCUUAUCAAGCAAACAGCUAUGCUCUGUGUGAUUAACUUCCACUAAAGUCGGUUGCAGCUAGUAAAAUAACAAGCGAACAUAAA
This 347-nucleotide unclassified non-coding RNA is filed under the name Hevea brasiliensis (rubber tree). The record is from RNAcentral. Lineage: Eukaryota; Viridiplantae; Streptophyta; Magnoliopsida; Malpighiales; Euphorbiaceae.